UGCUUGCUUACUCCCCCCACAAGAAGGAUGGGGGGAGACUCAGAAGGUCAAGAACAGGGAACUUAUGGGUUGAGAUAAGGACAGUUUAAUAGGUAAAGCAAAGCUGCAUGUACAAGCAAAGCGAAAUAAGGAGUUCAUUCAGUGCUUCCCGUCAGCAGGCAGAUGUCCAGCUGCUUUCAGAGAAGUAAGGCCUCAGCACGUGUAAUGGUUAUUUGGGAAUAUUAAUGACAAAACCACAUAACUCCCCCCUCUCCUUUGUCUUAGCUUUUAUUGCUGGACACAUCGUAUGGUAAGGGAUAUCCCUUUGGUUAGGCUGUACACAGCUGUCCUGGCUCUGUGCACCCUCAGCCUCCUUGCUGGGGGGGGAGAGCAGCUCUAGGUGGCCCUGCUUGAGCAGGAGUUGGACCAGAUAAUCUCCAGACAUCCCAUCCUGCGAUGCUGUGAUUCUCUGAACUCCAUCCCGGCCAACAAGCGCUGAUUUUGUUCUGCUGCUGCUGAAGCAAAAGUCAUCCCAGGAGAAGGGGAACAGCGGUGCUGGAAGAGCUGCCUGGAGAGGAGCCUAUUGUCUCUGGGGAGUGUCUGAGGAUGCUAUAUCACCACAUCAACCUACAGAUCAAUUAAAAGUGGAAUAAAUUACUGUUCUGUCUGUGCACAUGCCUUGUCUGCAUUCCCAGUGCAAGCCACCACAGAGACCCCAGGCAGUGGAAUCAGCCCUGGCUGCAUGCGUGGAGGAAGGCAGCCGGAAAGCACAAGGCUCGGCUCCCCAGGUGGGGCAGAGGCAGAGGAGCUGGGGCCAGCGCCAGGGCCAGGAGUGGCUCCGCUGCUGCAGGGGUGUAGCGAGGGGUGCGGCCCCAGGCACCGCUCCAGAGGUGAGGUAGGCACGAAGACACGAGGUCCAGGGUGGGGUGAGAGCAGCCUGUGUGCUGGCAAAGUGCCCCGCUCCUGGCUCUGUGCCUGGCGAGUGAUAAAAAGGAAAACAGGAAAGGACCUGCCAAAUGACCUUCUUACCUGGGAAACCCAAUUUUUGCUCCAGCAUGGGCUAUACCGUGCUGGUGCUCUAGAUGCAAGGGGAGAGGGGUAAACAAGACAGGCUCUGAGGAAGGCAAAUGCUCAAUGGACAGACUGAGUGAAAAAUAAGGAAACGUUUGGCUGAGGUGAGAGCCUGAAGAGAAAGAAAAAAUGCCAGACUGAAACCUGCAGCAUCCAGACCCGACAAUUUCCAGCAUCAAUGACAAGGAGGCAGCAAGGAGGAACUGGUGAAAAAGAUAGUGAGGCAGCUGUGGGGAGUCUAAUAGAUCACUUGCACAGAGAGGCAAUGCCUGUUGUGGCAUAGUUGACCCAGCAACAUAUUUGGAAUAUUUUGCAGCUGGCAGAAUGCUUCUGACUAGGUCACCGCCUUGUGUCAUCAAGGUAAAGUAUCGCUGACCUAGUUGUAGGAGGCACCACCUCCACCUUAGUGAUGGUCAAACCAGAGUGACUCCAAGAAUGGGGAAGAAGAAGGAUGCUGAUUUGGCUGCAUGAGAAUCAGACUGCGUGACCAUGUCUGAAAUCAACUGGGAGGUUAGAAAGAGCAUAGGAGAGUGCUGGUAGCGUGGCUUGAAGGGGGAUCCAAAGGAAGAAGUAUUUCUUAGUCACUGGCUUACAGCCUUUUUCAAAACUUCUAUUAGAUUUUUAAUUCAUAUUAUUUAAUGAAAUAGUUCUCUGUUACCACUGUGAUAGAAUGAUACAGUUCUCAUUUAACAGAAAAUAGCAAACAUCACAUUUGUGUUCAUUCCUCUAUUCCAUUUCAGGAAUAAAACAAACAGUAAAAUUUGCCACCUGUAAUUCUAUAUGGACCAGAAAUUCUCAGACCUAUCUGGAAAUAGAGCUUGGCUUCUGGACAUGGACAUUACCUUCCUGCUGGUGCAUUGUUACUCUUAGGAGACAGGACUUUGGUCAGAUGAUGAGCAAACCAGGAUAUGCAGUGAGAUAAUGGGUAUUUUUUCUUCCAGUGAAAAUGAUCUCAACCAAAUAGCCCUGUAUACUGCCUAGCUGCUUGGCUUCAGGGUAAACACAGUUUAUAUGUACCAAGGUAUUUGCAAACUGGUUAAGUAACCUUGUUAAAUGGGGAUCCACUUAACCAUACACCUAAUACAAACAAUUUGUUGGUAACUUCAUGAAAUAAGAUCUUGCUUCAGUGCAAAGUGACUAUAAAUUGGAGGCAUUGUUAAUGAAAAUUCUAGCGUAUUAUGUUCAUUAGGUGCUAAUGUAAGCAAUUGUUCAAAGUACAAGGCAGUGGAGCCAUUGAAGAUUUUUCUUAUCUUCUGUCUGUUUUUCAGUACCCAAAAUAUUACUGUUAUUUUCCACCUACUCCUCCUAAAUCACCUUCCUGAUAAAAAGAUAAAUCCAGUAUUUCAGGUGCAGUUACAUAUGUCUUUGCUGUAUUGUUACAUUUCUAGAUGAUCUGAAUCUCUUUAGUGAGUGAUCCUUCAGUCGAUUUUUUUUUCCCCACUAUUGCCUGUUUUUGUCUCUCUGUGGGAAGAAUUUAUUGCUGUGACACUGUUACAUGUAGAAGCCUUUGCAGAAGAUUAAUGAAAUCAGUUCAUCUCACUAAACGUGGUAUCAAUGAAGGUAUCCAUUUAAACACUUGGGAAUGAUGUCACUUCAACAGCUGUAGAGCUGUAGAUAUGCAGAUAUAACAGUUUACAUAUCCUAGCAUGUAGCUGUGCAAUGCACAUUAUAAAUAGCCUGAUCAACAAGGCAAUAAAAUACAGUUGUAACUCACAAAUUUUACUGUAACUUUAUUGAUCUGAUUGGAAGCUCUUGGAAGACCUAAAUGAACAAACAAACAAACAAAAAAAAAAAUAAGUAAGUACAUACCUACUUUAAAAAUAUUUAAAAACAAAUCAACACAUGCCACUGUUUUUGAAGGAUUUAUUUCCUAG
Anas platyrhynchos (mallard) is the source of this 2924-nucleotide long non-coding RNA. RefSeq lists it as uncharacterized. NCBI's taxonomy places the organism in Eukaryota, Metazoa, Chordata, Aves, Anseriformes, Anatidae. The record is from RefSeq and is a predicted model, not a curated record.